RNAcentral lists this ribosomal RNA (490 nucleotides) under uncultured bacterium. RNAcentral's name for it is "bacterial SSU rRNA". It matches the Rfam family "Bacterial small subunit ribosomal RNA", at positions 28 to 507 of the family's 1533-position model. The record is from RNAcentral.
GAUGAACGCUAGCUACAGGCUUAACACAUGCAAGUCGAGGGGCAACAUGAACUUAGCUUGCUAAGUUUGAUGGCGACCGGCGCACGGGUGAGUAACACGUAUCCAACCUUCCGUUUACUCAGGGAUAGCCUUUCGAAAGAAAGAUUAAUACCUGAUAGUAUGGUGAGAUUGCAUGAUAGCACCAUUAAAGAUUUAUUGGUAAACGAUGGGGAUGCGUUCCAUUAGGUAGUAGGCGGGGUAACGGCCCACCUAGCCGACGAUGGAUAGGGGUUCUGAGAGGAAGGUCCCCCACAUUGGAACUGAGACACGGUCCAAACUCCUACGGGAGGCAGCAGUGAGGAAUAUUGGUCAAUGGGCGAGAGCCUGAACCAGCCAAGUAGCGUGAAGGAUGAAGGUCCUACGGAUUGUAAACUUCUUUUAUACGGGAAUAAAGUAUCCUACGUGUAGGAUUUUGUAUGUACCGUAUGAAUAAGCAUCGGCUAACUCCGUG